ACGAGGCACCAGCAACGGAAUUGGGGGAUGUAGUCGAAGUGUCUCCUUGAUCACUGCCUUCAAGUACUGCAUUUUUUCCAGAUAUUCUUCAGAUACAUCUGCGUGUUCCCUGCAUUUGCAGAUGAUACAACAAGAGUUGGCUUGCUUCCAAGGUGAAGCAACAUAAGCUCGCCAUAUUGCCGAGACAGGGAUUGAAGUGUACAGUGAGGGUACAUACCGAGUUGGUGAAGGUUCCCCAGUAUUGGCAGCUUUGGGGAGACGGGGGUAAGUUUCUUCGCAUGGAUGCAUUGAAACCGAGCCAUUUAUAGAGGAAGAAUAAAGAUGUGAAGAAGGGAAGGAUUAAUAAUAGGUGAAAAAAUAGCAAGCCUAUUUGUUCCGUUAUCAUGUUAACGUUCAUUGGAAAUCAAAACAUGUUAGCGGAUUGAGCUCGGCUUCAAUGUACCUCUAGGCUCUAGAAGACUGAAGAAGGAGCUGUCUCUCACUAGCAGACUCGCAGUAUUAUGCCAAAGCAAUAUAAAGGCAGAGGGAGGAGAAGACUUUAUUUUUCGAGGUUGAUGAAAGAUAAAAUGUAGGGAUAAUAUUGCAGAAGUUUAGUUAGCUGAAGAAUGUGAAACUUCUGCUAAACUCUGAUAUUCCUGCAAGUUUCUAUGCAUGGUAUGCAUAGUUUCACUACAGGUUUGAAACAUGUGCCUCAAACUUUCCAACAAUGCUAUUAGACAUUGUUUGUUCCA
Chenopodium quinoa (quinoa) is the source of this 731-nucleotide long non-coding RNA. RefSeq lists it as uncharacterized. The record is from RefSeq and is a predicted model, not a curated record. Lineage: Eukaryota; Viridiplantae; Streptophyta; Magnoliopsida; Caryophyllales; Amaranthaceae. The transcript is spliced from 2 exons.